Molecule: ribosomal RNA, 528 nt
Filed under: uncultured bacterium
Lineage: Bacteria
Description: bacterial SSU rRNA
Rfam family: Bacterial small subunit ribosomal RNA
Source: RNAcentral
AUAGAUACCCUGGUAGUCCACGCCCUAAACGAUGCGAACUGGAUGUUGGGUACAUUACGGUACUCAGUGUCGAAGCUAACGCGUUAAGUUCGCCGCCUGGGGAGUACGGUCACAAGACUGAAACUCAAAGGAAUUGACGGGGGCCCGCACAAGCGGUGGAGUAUGUGGUUCAAUUCGAUGCAACGCGAAGAACCUUGCCUGGCCUUGACAUCUGUUGAACCCUGCAGAGAUGCGGGAGUGCCGCAAGGAACAACAAGACAGGUGCUGCAUGGCUGUCGUCAGCUCGUGUCGUGAGAUGUUGGGUUAAGUCCCGCAACGAGCGCAACCCUUGUCCCUAGUUGCCAACGAGUAAGGUCGGGAACUCUAGGGAGACUGCCGGUGACAAACCGGAGGAAGGUGGGGAUGACGUCAAGUCCUCAUGGCCCUUACGGCCAGGGCUACACACGUACUACAAUGGUCGGUACAAAGGGUUGCGAAGCCGCGAGGUGGAGCCAAUCCCAGAAAGCCGAUCCCAGUCCGGAUUGGAGU